UUAAAAUUUUAACUUAUUUUGUUUGCUUCAUUUUCUUUGACCUAGUAGUACCCUUUGCUUAAACCGUUCGGUUUCAAACCAUAACUGGAACCGUUAAUUUUUGGUUCGGUUCCGAAAUCGUGGCCACCCCUAGUAAGUAGUGCUUCAUUAUUUAUCAUGGAGGAUUUAUAAAGCUUUAUCUUUGAUAUUUAUAAAUAUAUCCUUAUAUUUUUAUAUUUAUGCAUUUCCUCUGUUUUAU
This 238-nucleotide long non-coding RNA is filed under the name Jatropha curcas. RNAcentral describes it as "long non-coding RNA (JCUR_LNC002004)". Lineage: Eukaryota; Viridiplantae; Streptophyta; Magnoliopsida; Malpighiales; Euphorbiaceae. The record is from RNAcentral.